Daphnia pulex (common water flea) is the source of this 983-nucleotide long non-coding RNA. RefSeq lists it as uncharacterized. The transcript has 4 exons. The record is from RefSeq and is a predicted model, not a curated record. NCBI's taxonomy places the organism in Eukaryota, Metazoa, Arthropoda, Branchiopoda, Diplostraca, Daphniidae.
UGCGAAAGCGAAACGCGAAACGCGAAACGCCUAAAAUGCGGAAAAGCUGUGCGAAACGGACCCAAAAGUUGGGACCCUGUUUCGCAUUUUAGGCCUUGGGUCCGUACUAAAAUGCGAAAUCGGUGGGUGCGAAACGUCAACAGAACGUCAACAGACGACGCCAUUAACAUACGUACUUGCGUCACAAAAAUCUACUCGUCAAGAUAAAAACACCUUGCCUUCGAGUUAGUUUAUCCUAGUUUCUGUUUUGUAUAUAAUUCGUUAAAUUAAAAGGAUAUUACAGUUUUGUGUAUUUACCUAUUGUAUUCAUGAUUUUGAUUUGUGAUUCACGUUAUUUGCCAUUCAAUCACCGCAAUACUUCUUAAACUUGAUAAUUAAAGUCAUGGGAGAUGUCCACUUCAUGAAACUCGCUUUGUCGUUUUGCUGAAGUAAGCUGUCUUUCUGCAAAGAAAUAAAUGAGAGUAAAGAAAAAACUUCCCAAUGUGAGGUGACAUGAUGUUUCACCUGAUACAUUGUAACCUACAUUCUCUGAGCAAUAAUUUGGUUAUCCCUGUCAUAGAAAACCUUGGUGGAAUUCUGAGAGUGGUAAUAGUUCCAUAGCUCAUGCUGCCCAAGUAAUAGUGUGGAGCAGGCGUAUCUGUGCUUUACUUUUGCUACAAGCGCUAGAAGAUUGGCAUCACAAAUCAAAUCUUUGUAUUUUCAAUCUACAAUUCAGGUGGAUUAUACAAUAUGUGUGCAUGUGCGCAUGGAAAGUGCGUCGUGUCGAUGACUUUGUCAACGGGGGAAAAAUGUUAAGCUUAAUUUGCUCGAUAAUAGAAUUUGUUUUAAUCUUUUCUUCUUUUAUUAUCAUUUAUUUCAUACCUCGGUUGAAUCACUCAUCAGCCCGUCCCAAGACGCAUAGCUGACUUUUGACUUCAAUUUUUCAUAAUUUAAACCGAAAUAGUGUAGCGGCUGAAGAAAUAAAAUUUGAUUGCUCCCCCCUU